GUGCUUGCUUCGGCAGCACAUACACUAAAAUUGGAACGAUACAGAGAAGGUUAACAUGGCCCCUGCGUAAGGAUGACACGCAAAUUCGUGAAACACUCCAUAUUUUU
This 107-nucleotide small nuclear RNA is filed under the name Tupaia belangeri (northern tree shrew). Lineage: Eukaryota; Metazoa; Chordata; Mammalia; Scandentia; Tupaiidae. The record is from RNAcentral.